UUUUGUGUGUUUUAACAGAUCCAAGGACGACGACCUUCAAGAGGACGAACAUCAAGGACCAACAACAAAAACAAAGAUAAGUAUUAUUGUCUAGUAAAAAAUAAACUUAACUAGAGUUUCAUUUGUGUUUGACUUGAAAUUGUCUUCACGUGUCUCACUGGUAUCUUUUGAUUUUGUGUGUAUUAACAGAUCCAAGGAAGACUCAAGGAAAGAAGGAAAACGUUGAGGCUAGUCUUGAAAGAAAUGUGACAAUGGCGACAUGGAUGAAGAAUUACCACAAAGGAAAACUUCUGCUUCAAAAUGCACCGCCUGACUGGUUUGUCUGUAGAAAUAUGGUGGCGCACGAUGGCAUCUUUGUAAAGCAAGGCCUUUGCCUAAACGCAACAUGGCCAGCAGCAGAACAGUCAGCAUCAGCAGCAGGACCUCCAGCUGCAGCGGCAGAACAGUCGGAAGCAACAGCAGCAGCAGUGGCAGUGGUGUUACAGUGAGAAGACAGUGUCACUGUCUCUCACCAACUUUUGCACUGUUUUUGAGAAACAUGGUGGCGCACGAUGGCAUCUUCCGUAAUGCAAGGCCUUUGCCCAAACUGAAAUCAGUUAUUAUAGAUCCCAAUCAGCGCAACACAGCCAGCAGCAGCGGUGGAACAGUGAGAAGCAGCAGCAGCGACGGAACGGUGAGAAGCUUUUGAGGAACUACCGAAGACACUUUGGAAACACAGCAGCAAAGAUGUCCCUCUCUGACUGGCAGGAAAAGAACUUGAAAGCCCACGCUCGCUUUUCCAAAAGUCCCCGUCCCUGAAGACACAGUCUCACACCAACUUUUGCACUGUGUUUGCAGUUUUGCAUGUUUCUCUUUGUGUGAGUUUUAUAUAUAGAUAGCAUGUUUUAAUAAUUUUAUAAUAAAAAGUUUUC
Solea senegalensis (Senegalese sole) is the source of this 911-nucleotide long non-coding RNA. RefSeq lists it as uncharacterized. The record is from RefSeq and is a predicted model, not a curated record. NCBI's taxonomy places the organism in Eukaryota, Metazoa, Chordata, Actinopteri, Pleuronectiformes, Soleidae. The transcript is spliced from 3 exons.